UGAUUCGAUAACAGCCCAGAAGUGUCGUCCGUACCCGUGGGCUGGCUGUGUCACCCAGGCAGCAGCUGAAAGGGGCUGAAAGGAUCGCCCCUCUGUGGCCCCCACCUUGGGGCUGGAGUCUUGGACUCCUCACUCUGCCCUCCUGGACCCUCCCAGACCAGCCAGCCUGGUUCACAGGUGGACCUCACUCUGCCUGAGGCUUGGCCUCUGCCUGGAUGGGGGAUGAGGUCCUGAGUCCUGGAUCUCACAGGGCAGGGCCCUCUUUCCUGGGGGUUGCGGGCACAGCCUCCCAGCGACACGGAGGUGGGGCGGGCCUGGCAGCCUCUGCGCAGGUCCGGGAGAUUCGCAGCUGAGUGAUGGAUCCUAGGAGCCGCUGUCGGACGCCGUGGAUGAGGGGCUGACGUGGUUUUCCCCUCCCCACCUUCCGUCCUCUUCUGGCCUUUGGGUCAGGCCUGGACUCUACCCCACGGCCAGUCUCCUCUCUUGCCAGCUGGUGGUCUCUGGGAGGGAGGCAGAGUCCAGGCUGGCCGUGGCGGGGGAGAGGCGGGGAACCGGGGAAGGGCCAGCAAUAGGAAGGGGACGGAGGAGAGAGAAGGGGGCUAUUGGGCCUUCAGAUGAGUGACCUGAAGGAAACGGACAUGGAGAAGGGACCAAGGAGAGCUCCAGGCAGUGUGGGGGAGCCCCAAGUCCUCCCCAGGCCCAUUGUUUAGAAACGAAGGAACUGACUUCAGCCCCGGGAGCAGGGCCUCCCACCCCACCCGGGCUUCCUGCUCCCCAGGCGGCCAGAGUGGACUUUGUCCACCUUAUUUGGGGAUUGAGAAGCUGCACGGCGUGCGCGUCCCUGCAGUCCACAGCCUCAGGGUGGAGGGUACCUCUCCAGUCACUCUCUGUGACUCAGACUUACAGCCUUUUGAGCAGAGAAAGUGCUAAUCGAGUAUCCAUUCGAUCCUCCAUUCAGCUGUCCAUCUACCCUUCCAGGUAUCCACCAACCCCUCAUCCACCCACCUAGCCAUUCACAUGUCCACAGCUGUCCCCUCUUCUAC
Molecule: long non-coding RNA, 1043 nt
Organism: Bos taurus (domestic cattle)
Lineage: Eukaryota; Metazoa; Chordata; Mammalia; Artiodactyla; Bovidae
Source: Ensembl